This 425-nucleotide ribosomal RNA is filed under the name uncultured bacterium. RNAcentral describes it as "bacterial SSU rRNA". It matches the Rfam family "Bacterial small subunit ribosomal RNA", at positions 356 to 773 of the family's 1533-position model. The record is from RNAcentral.
GGGGAAUAUUGGACAAUGGGCGAAAGCCUGAUCCAGCAAUGCCGCGUGUGUGAAGAAGGCCUGCGGGUUGUAAAGCACUUUCAGCAGGGAAGAACAGCGCAGGGCUAAUAUCCCUGUGUCCUGACGUCACCUGAAGAAGAAGCACCGGCUAACUCCGUGCCAGCAGCCGCGGUAAUACGGAGGGUGCGAGCGUUAAUCGGAAUUACUGGGCGUAAAGCGCACGUAGGUGGCUUGGUAAGUCGGAUGUGAAAGCCCUGGGCUCAACCUGGGAACUGCACCCGAAACUGCCUGGCUAGAGUAAGGGAGAGGGAAGCGGAAUUUCCGGUGUAGCGGUGAAAUGCGUAGAUAUCGGAAGGAACACCAGUGGCGAAGGCGGCUUCCUGGCCCAUUACUGACACUGAGGUGCGAAAGCGUGGGGAGCAAAC